Molecule: small nucleolar RNA, 275 nt
Filed under: Vombatus ursinus (common wombat)
Lineage: Eukaryota; Metazoa; Chordata; Mammalia; Diprotodontia; Vombatidae
Description: Small Cajal body specific RNA 6 (ENSVURG00010022427.1)
Rfam family: Small Cajal body specific RNA 6
About the family: U88 is small Cajal body specific RNA (scaRNA). scaRNAs are a novel class of small nuclear RNAs which localise to the Cajal bodies. U88 is found associated with both fibrillarin and Gar1p and co-localises with coilin in Cajal bodies. U88 scaRNA is composed of both an H/ACA box and a C/D box conserved domains domains and is predicted to guide 2'-O-methylation of residue U41 of the U5 snRNA.
Source: Rfam by way of RNAcentral
GGUCAGUGAUGAAUAGUAAAAGGUCUGAUUACCCCGAGAUGACCCGCCCACCCUCCCAGUUCCCAGCUGCCUCUUUGCUGUCAGGCUCUAGUGGUGCCAUGACUGAGUGGAGACCUGCUGACAUCACCGGACGCCCCGUGUGCGUGUGUGUGUUUGCUAGAAUUUCAGUGAAUGCACUACUGUGGUUGGCGUCCAACAGUGGGCGUCAGCAAGGAAUAAGGGCUGGUGGGAGCACAUCUCCUGUGGGUCUGAUCUGAAAUUUGCAAACUGAGGCC